This 73-nucleotide transfer RNA is filed under the name Tanakia lanceolata. RNAcentral describes it as "tRNA-Pro". It matches the Rfam family "tRNA". From Rfam's summary of the family: Transfer RNA (tRNA) molecules are approximately 80 nucleotides in length. The record is from RNAcentral. Lineage: Eukaryota; Metazoa; Chordata; Actinopteri; Cypriniformes; Acheilognathidae.
CCAGAAGAUAGUUUAACACAGAAUCCUGGCUUUGGGAGCCAGGGGUGGGAGUUAGAAUCUCCCCCUUCUGGGC